CAGCAUUUUAUUAAUCUUUCACUAAUCCAGAUUUCUAUCAACAGUGACAAAUGAAAUUAGAUGCGUGCAGGAGGGAUUCACAGGAUGUAUUUAGACAGCCCAGGCCCAUAUAUGUCUGCUCAAGGGUAAGCCCCAUUGAAUUAUUUGGGACUGAUUCCCAAAUAAUCAAGUAUGAUUGCAACCAGAAUCUGUUACUAAAUUCUGUACUGCUUAGGGAUGUAGAACCCUUGAGAAAAGAAAAGCAAUUUACAAGGUGGUAUCAUUUUUGUUGUGUCUGCCCUAAUAAUAAUAAUAAUAAUAAUAAUAAUAAUAAUAAUAAUAAUAAUAAUAUAAACUGGACACAGGCGGAACUGGACAAUUUGGACAGAAAAUCAAGAAAACUCAUGACCAUUCAUCAUUCACUGCACCCCCGCAGUGAUGUUGACCGGCUAUAUCUGCCUAGAAGAUCAGGGGGCAGAGGACUCUUACAAGUCAAACAAGCAGUCAAAGAAGAAGAACAUGUCCUGGCAGAAUAUGUAAAGCAAAGUGAAGAACCUGCUUUGAUUGAAGUCAAAAAUCAGAAACUCCUCAAAGCACAGCAGACAAAAAAUCAGUACAAGAAAACCACACUACAAACUAGAGCUGACAGCUGGCACAACAAAACAUUGCAUGGAAAGUUCCUUGACAAAAUUGAAGGAAAAGCUGAUAUGGAGAAGACCUGGCUAUGGCUCACGAAUGGGACAUUGAAGAAGGAGACUGAAGGCCUAAUCCUUACAGCUCAGGAGAAGGCCAUCAGAACAAAUGCAAUUAAGGCCAAGAUCGAAAAAUCAGCUGAUGACCCAAAAUGCAGACUGUGCAAGGAAACCGACGAAACCAUUGAUCAUCUCCUCAGCUGCUGUAAAAAAAUCGCACAGACAGACUACAAACAGAGGUACAACUAUGUGGCCCAAAUGAUUCAUUGGAACUUAUUCCUCAAGUGCCACCUCCCAGCAGCAAAGAACUGGUGGGAUCACAAACCUGCAAAAGUAUUGGAAAAUGAACACGCAAAGAUACUGUGGGACUUCCGAAUCCAGACUGACAAAGUUCUGGAACACAACACACCAGACAUCACGGUUGUGGAAAAUAAAAAGGUUUGGAUCAUUGAUGUUGCCAUCCCAGGUGACAGUCGCAUUGACGAAAAACAACAGGAAAAACUCAGCCGCUAUCAGGACCUCAAGAUUGAACUUCAAAGACUCUGGCAGAUCCCAGCAGGGUGGCCUUUUGCAGUUGGCAGAUCAUAAUUUUGUCAAUAUCUAUUGUUUCAAAAUGCUGGCUGAGAUCUUUUGGCAUGGCACCCAAUGUGCCGAUCACCACUGGGACCACCUGGACUGGUUCCUGCUAGAGUCUUUGAAGUUCAAUCUUGAGAUCCUGAUAGCGGCUGAGUUUUUCCUGUUGUUUUUCGUCAAUGCGACUGUCACCUGGGAUGGCGACAUCAAUGAUCCAAACCUUUUUCUUUUCCACAACUGUGAUGUCUGGUGUGUUGUGUUCCAGAACUUUGUCAGUCUGGAUCCGGAAGUCCCACAGUAUCUUUGCGUUCUCAUUUUCCAAUACUUUUGCAGGUUUGUGAUCCCACCAGUUCUUUACUGCUGGGAGGUGGUACUUGAGGCAUAAGUUCCAAUGAAUCAUUUGGGCCACAUAGUUGUGCCUCUGUUUGUAGUCUGUCUGUGCAAUUUUCUUACAGCAGCUGAGGAUAUGAUCAAUGGUUUCAUCGGUUUCCUUGCAGAGUCUGCAUUUUGGGUCAUCAGCUGAUUUUUCGAUCUUGGCCUUAAUUGCAUUUGUCCUGAUGGCUUGCAAGGAUUAUUAUUAUUAUUAUUAUUAUUAUUAUUAUUAUUAUUAUUAUUAUUAUUAUUAUUUAAAACAUUUAUAUUCCACCCUUCUCACCAUGAAGGGGACUCAGGGCAGAGCACAAUAUAUAUAUGGUAAGCAAUCCAUGCCGGGACAUAAAAUAAUUAUAAAUAUAUACAAACAUUAAAAUCAGUUACUUCUACUUUAAAAUCAGCUGUUUAAACCAGCUCAGGACACCAUGCUGGCUCUGGUCAGCAGAGUAGGUUUCCUAUUAUUGCCUCAUUGCACUGCCCCAUAGGCUUGGUCCCAUGGUCAGGUCUUUACCAUCUUUCUGAAGGACAGGGGCGAGGGGGGUGAUCUAAU
This is a long non-coding RNA of Anolis carolinensis (green anole), 2166 nucleotides long. The record is from Ensembl. Lineage: Eukaryota; Metazoa; Chordata; Lepidosauria; Squamata; Anolidae.